RNAcentral lists this ribosomal RNA (496 nucleotides) under uncultured bacterium. Its description in RNAcentral is "partial 16S ribosomal RNA". It matches the Rfam family "Bacterial small subunit ribosomal RNA", at positions 28 to 506 of the family's 1533-position model. The record is from RNAcentral.
GAUGAACGCUGGCGGCGUGCCUAAUACAUGCAAGUCGAGCGAACGGACGAGAAGCUUGCUUCUCUGAUGUUAGCGGCGGACGGGUGAGUAACACGUGGAUAACCUACCUAUAAGACUGGGAUAACUUCGGGAAACCGGAGCUAAUACCGGAUGAUAUUUUGAACCGCAUGGUUCAAAAGUGAAAGACGGUCUUGCUGUCACUUAUAGAUGGAUCCGCGCUGCAUUAGCUAGUUGGUAAGGUAACGGCUUACCAAGGCAACGAUGCAUAGCCGACCUGAGAGGGUGAUCGGCCACACUGGAACUGAGACACGGUCCAGACUCCUACGGGAGGCAGCUGUAGGGAAUCUUCCGCAAUGGGCGAAAGCCUGACGGAGCAACGCCGCGUGAGUGAUGAAGGUCUUCGGAUCGUAAAACUCUGUUAUUAGGGAAGAACAUAUGUGUAAGUAACUGUGCACAUCUUGACGGUACCUAAUCAGAAAGCCACGGCUAACUACGU